UGGGGAAUUUUGGACAAUGGGCGAAAGCCUGAUCCAGCCAUGCCGCGUGAGUGAAGAAGGCCUUCGGGUUGUAAAGCUCUUUUAGUCGGAAAGAAAGAGUUGCAAUGAAUAAUUGUGAUUUAUGACGGUACCGACAGAGAAAGCACCGGCUAACUACGUGCCAGCAGCCGCGGUAAUACGUAGGGUGCGAGCGUUAAUCGGAAUUACUGGGCGUAAAGGGUGCGCAGGCGGUCUUGCAAGUCAGAUGUGAAAGCCCCGGGCUUAACCUGGGAAUUGCGUUUGAAACUACAAGACUAGAGUGCAGCAGAGGGGAGUGGAAUUCCAUGUGUAGCAGUGAAAUGCGUAGAGAUGUGGAAGAACACCGAUGGCGAAGGCAGCUCCCUGGGUUGACACUGACGCUCAUGCACGAAAGCGUGGGGAGCAAACA
Molecule: ribosomal RNA, 427 nt
Filed under: uncultured bacterium
Lineage: Bacteria
Description: bacterial SSU rRNA
Rfam family: Bacterial small subunit ribosomal RNA
Source: RNAcentral